UAGGGAAUCUUCCGCAAUGGACGCAAGUCUGACGGAGCAACGCCGCGUGAGUGAUGAAUGUCUUCGGAUUGUAAAACUCUGUUGUUAGGGAAGAACAAGUACCGUUCGAAUAGGUCGGUACCUUGACGGUACCUAACCAGAAAGCCCCGGCUAACUACGUGCCAGCAGCCGCGGUAAUACGUAGGGGGCAAGCGUUGUCCGGAAUUAUUGGGCGUAAAGGGCGCGCAGGCGGUCUUCUAAGUCUGAUGUGAAAGCCCACGGCUUAACCGUGGAAGGUCAUUGGAAACUGGGGGACUUGAGUGCAGAAGAGGAGAGUGGAAUUCCAUGUGUAGCGGUGAAAUGCGUAGAGAUAUGGAGGAACACCAGUGGCGAAGGCGACUCUCUGGUCUGCAACUGACGC
This 400-nucleotide ribosomal RNA is filed under the name uncultured bacterium. RNAcentral describes it as "bacterial SSU rRNA". It matches the Rfam family "Bacterial small subunit ribosomal RNA", at positions 355 to 746 of the family's 1533-position model. The record is from RNAcentral.